This 897-nucleotide ribosomal RNA is filed under the name Pseudophialophora sp. Its description in RNAcentral is "partial large subunit ribosomal RNA". It matches the Rfam family "Eukaryotic large subunit ribosomal RNA", at positions 38 to 965 of the family's 3401-position model. Lineage: Eukaryota; Fungi; Ascomycota; Sordariomycetes; Magnaporthales; Magnaporthaceae. The record is from RNAcentral.
GCAUAUCAAUAAGCGGAGGAAAAGAAACCAACAGGGAUUGCCCUAGUAACGGCGAGUGAAGCGGCAACAGCUCAAAUUUGAAAUCUGGCCCUAGGCCCGAGUUGUAAUUUGUAGAGGAUGCUUUUGGUGACGUGCUUACCGAGUCCCCUGGAAUGGGGCGCCACAGAGGGUGAGAGCCCCGUAUGGUUUGCCGCCGAACCUUUGUAAAGCUCCUUCGACGAGUCGAGUAGUUUGGGAAUGCUGCUCUAAAUGGGAGGUAAAUUUCUUCUAAAGCUAAAUACCGGCCAGAGACCGAUAGCGCACAAGUAGAGUGAUCGAAAGAUGAAAAGCACUUUGAAAAGAGGGUUAAAUAGCACGUGAAAUUGUUGAAAGGGAAGCGCUUGUGACCAGACUCGCGCCGGGCGGAUCAUCCAGCGUUCUCGCUGGUGCACUCCGCCCGGCUCGGGCCAGCAUCGGUUUUCGCCGGGGGACAAAAGCCGCGGGAACGUGGCCCCCUUCGGGGGGUGUUAUAGCCCGUGGCAGAAUACCCCGGCGGGGACCGAGGACCGCGCUUCGGCAAGGAUGCUGGCGUAAUGGUCACCAGCGACCCGUCUUGAAACACGGACCGAGGAGUCAAGCAUUAGUGCGAGUGUUUGGGUGUAAAACCCGCACGCGUAAUGAAAGUGAACGUAGGUGAGAGCUUCGGCGCAUCAUCGACCGAUCCUGAAGUUUACGGAUGGAUUUGAGUAGGAGCAUUAACGCUUGGACCCGAAAGAUGGUGAACUAUACUUGAAUAGGGUGAAGCCAGAGGAAACUCUGGUGGAGGCUCGCAGCGGUUCUGACGUGCAAAUCGAUCGUCAAAUUUGAGUAUAGGGGCGAAAGACUAAUCGAACCAUCUAGUAGCUGGUUACCGCCGAG